ACCCUGAUGUGGGGGAUAACUAUUGGAAACGAUAGCUAAUACCGCAUAAUCUCUUCGGAGCAAAGAGGGGGACCUUCGGGCCUCUCGCGUCAGGAUUAGCCCAGGUGGGAUUAGCUAGUUGGUGGGGUAAUGGCUCACCAAGGCGACGAUCCCUAGCUGGUCUGAGAGGAUGAUCAGCCACACUGGAACUGAGACACGGUCCAGACUCCUACGGGAGGCAGCAGUGGGGAAUAUUGCACAAUGGGGGAAACCCUGAUGCAGCCAUGCCGCGUGUAUGAAGAAGGCCUUCGGGUUGUAAAGUACUUUCAGUUGUGAGGAAGGCGUUG
Molecule: non-coding RNA, 326 nt
Filed under: Photobacterium iliopiscarium
Lineage: Bacteria; Pseudomonadati; Pseudomonadota; Gammaproteobacteria; Vibrionales; Vibrionaceae
Description: bacterial SSU rRNA
Rfam family: Bacterial small subunit ribosomal RNA
Source: RNAcentral